UGUAAACACAACCAGUACACCAGACAAUGCAACUUCACCACAAGUAAACACACCUGGUACACCAGAAAACACAACUUCACCACAUGUAAACACAACUGGUACACCAGAAAACACUUCACCACACGUUAACACAACCAGUACACCAGAAAACACAACUCCUCCAUACGGAAACACACCUGGUACGUCAGAAAACACACCUCCGCCACAUGUAAGCACACCUGGUACACCAGACAAUGCAACUUCGCCACACAUAAACUCAACCGGUACACCAGAAAACUCACCUUCACCUCCUGCAAACUCAAGUCCUCCUCCUCCCAUCUCAAGCUCAGUGCCUUCUGGAGUGACACCGGCAGCACCAGUUACAAUACCUUCUACACCUGCUUCACCCAGACCAAUAGUUGUUCUUCAGUUCAGUCUGAAUCAAGAUUUUAAUGAGGACCUAAAAAAUAAGACAUCUGAAGCUUUUCAAAGCUUGGCAAAGAACAUAACCACACAGCUGGACACUGUGUACAGGAAUAAGUUUGGAGAUGCCUUCAAUCGUACAGAAAUCACAGAUUUCAGGAGCGGGUCAGUGAUCGUCGAUUCUACCUUGAUCUUUAACAAUCUGACAGUUGUUCCAAACACCAGUGAAGUCACCAACACUCUGAAGGCUGCAGCAAACACUUCUGGCUUUUCUCUCCCUGUCAACACCUCUACAAUUGUGGCUUCAGCUGAUACUUUAACAACUGCAUCUCCUGUGAGCACAACUGCACCUCCUGCAAUAACAACUGCACCUGUGAACCUAACUGCACCUCCUGCGAACUCAACUGCACCUCCUUUGAACACAACUGCACUUGUGAACCUAACUGCACUUGUGAACCUAACUGCACCUCCUGCGAACACAACUGCACAU
Molecule: non-coding RNA, 892 nt
Organism: Lepisosteus oculatus (spotted gar)
Lineage: Eukaryota; Metazoa; Chordata; Actinopteri; Semionotiformes; Lepisosteidae
Source: RefSeq, a predicted model, not a curated record